CAAGAAAGUCUUCUUUGAGGCACUGGUACUUUUUCUUUAUAUCAGAGGACAUUAAAAGACACUAAAUAAGAUAAACACAGACUUUUGGCAACCUACAUCUCCUAUAGGGCCAUCUGACAUAAGAAGAUUUUGGAAAUCCAAAUACGAUCUCUUUUUUUUUUUUCUUCUAGGUCCCUUGCUUAAAAUCAACAGAGAAGAGCCAUCGGAACCAAGGACAAUGAGCAGGAGCAUCUGGAUGGGAAGCACGGACAGGGCCUAUGGAAAUGGAACAGACACUUGGAUGGAAAAGCAGCUCAAGAUGGGAUGAGAAAGCAGGCAAAGGAGAAAAGAUCUUCAAUAGUCCCAGAAUAAAACUGGAAGCACGUGGCACAACAAAACACACGGGAGCAAUAGCAAGGAGCAGGAAGAAUUAUCAGAGCCACAUUCCAGGUAAUUCCAAGCUCUUAACUCCAAUAUUUAACCAUAUCCCUUUGUUUCUGGAACUGGACCACAAAGCCUGUGAUGUGGUUCUUGUCACUAAUUCUGUCACUAAUCCUGAGGAUCCAAAACUUUUCCCUUUACAUCUACCAUUCUCCUUUUUCCACAAUCUAAUAAGCUUAGUGAGUGAUGAUCACAGCCUCCCUUUCUACCUCUUCUUAGGUCUCCACCUUUAUAGUCCUGGGUCUACUUACUACAAUCUAUUGGAAGCAAAUACAUUAUUGAGUUAAAGCAGAGAUCUCAACUAGAUGAGUAAGGGUGUUGAGAAAUGAGGUGGAAGAGAAGAAAACAAGAUAAAAUUAGUUCCAGAGUAUUGCCUAAGAUCCUUCGAACAUCUUAUUUGGAAUGAAGGUGAAGGGCUGUAACACUAGGCUUCUGAGUUCCUUCUUUACCAGAGCUACUAAUGUGGUGUGCAAAGCAGUAAGUGUUCCAUUGGCCCGAGGGAAUUUGUCCUGUUGCCAGACCUAUCACCAAGAAGGCAUACAGGCUUUCUGAGUGAUUAACCAUGCUCAGCAGAUUUUAUUAAUGGUUGUGAUGACUACCUACAUAAUUCUUCCCACGCACAUAUGAGACUUUUAAGGGCAACUGUGAGAAGACAAUUUCACAAAUUUCUUUGGUAAUCCCUUCUUCUGGUCAUAUAACCAAUGGAAGCAGGGGCUUUCCCACAUGUCUGAGAUAAACUGGCAUGCUGAAGCUCAGACCCUUUCCAGAGAUACUAUUCUGACCCCUCCACUUUCCUCUUCCACAUGGACUUAAUAAUCUGAUCUACUGCACUUUACUUUUAUGGGGGUAUAGGGGCUUCUGAACCAGCCAGAAUAAUUCAUGACCCUCUUCCUCACCUGAGAGCUGAAUAAAUUGAAAAAAGAGUAAAAGAUGGUCGUUGAAUAAAUUGAGAAAAAAGUAAAAGACGGUGGUCAGAAUAUCCCUUUGUGAGCACUAACAGCUAAGACAGAGGAUGCAGCUUCAUAUGACCGUUAAACAGCCUUCCUAACAAUAACAGUUUGAACAGGUCAGACUUAUUUCUCUGCCAGCCAAGUCUCAGGCCCAUGCAGCUAAGAUGUGCAGAAUGAGUGAACAAAGUGAGCCGAGCUUUAUUCUUCAGAAUUUAUUAAUCAUCUGAGGCAUUGCCCCUUCCCCUUUCCUCAGGUUGCUGAGUACAUAGAGAGAAGAAGAGCCAGAAGCAUUCAGAGAAAAUCCCUUCUAAUAUAAAGUGCACAUUGGGAAGAGUAAACCUUUACUUAAAAAUUAACCAAUGGGGCCAACUCUACUGAACUAAAUUGAAGCUUUAAAACAAAUUUUUUUUGGUCUACUCAGUCAUUCCAGGAGCAGUCUCUGCCAUUUCAAGGAUAGGUGCAGUCAUGGGUAACGGUUCUAUUUCUCCUUCAGUAAUGUUUAUUUCUGAACAUUCCUGGCUAAUUAUACUGCUUGGUCAACCAAACCGGGCUGGCCAAACCUUCCACAGGAGGCUCUGUGGGAAUUGCCUGGAGACUUGAUUAUUCACUUGAGUAGCCAGAAAGUUGAUCCCGAGUCAUGGCUGGGUCCAGCCCUCUGGCUCAGUGUGCAGAACUCCGCCCUGGCUGAGCAGUUACCUUGUUCAGAGCCAUGCCCUGAGCCUGUUUGCAGCAGUGGCACUAAUUAUCACUAAUCCUCCUUGGCUGAGACAGCCUGUGCAUGAUACUACAUUUGGCACACUCACACCUCCAUAGUCUUCCGAAGAGCCUGCGGGGAAUGACGGCACGGUGAUCAGUACCAGGGAAUAAGGUGGGAUGAGAAAAGGUUACACUGGUAUCCUCAUCAACCUGGUCAAUCUAUGUCAGGUGAACAGGGAGAGACACCUAGAGGCUUGUUAGUCAUCAUUGCUAUGUAUGCUUUAUACCAUAUUACGCAUUUUUGGAGGGCAGAAAGGGACAUUACUUCUCCAGUGUUUUUUUUGUUUUGUUUUGUUUUUGACAUGGAGUUUCACUCUUGUUACCCAGGCUGGAGUGCAAUGGCGCAAUCUCGGCUCACCGCAACCUCUGUCUCCUGGGUUCAGGCAAUUCUCCUGCCUCAGCCUCCUGAGUAGCUGGGAUUACAGGCACGUGCCACUGUGCCCAGCUAAUUUUUUGUAUUUUUAGUAGAGACGGGGUUUCACCAUGUUGACCAGGAUGGUCUCGAUCUGACCAGGAUGGUCUUGAUCUCUUGACCUCGUGAUCCACCCACCUCGGCCUCCCAAAGUGCUGGGAUUACAGGCAUGAGCCACUGUGCCCAGCCUUCUCCAGUGUCUUCUUUCUGUGGCUUGAAUGUUUCUUCCAUAGAAAAGAUCACCAUGUGUCCUGGAGGACACAUGGGCUUAGAGCUCGAUAAGUUUAAGGGUGGCGUUCAGCCCUCUUAGUGCUCUCAGGGGACAUGUCCCUUUAUCUCUUCGAACAUCAGCUCUCCUAUCUGCAAAAUAAAUGCAUAAUAAUUACCCCAAGAAUUCAUGAUGACUAUUAACUAGAAUUAUACAUGUGAAGUACUCAGAACACCUAGUACUAGAACAUAGUGACAUAAAAGUUGAUCUAACUAAAAUUAUCCUAUGACAAACUACCACAGAGCAGAAAAAAUAAUCUUCAGAUACACGGUUUUGGAAUUUUAUGAGGCAAGAAUUUUGACUAAGGAGGCUACCCUUCAAAGAAUACAUAUCACUCCAAGUUCCCGAGAUAUAUUUCAUCCCUUGCCCUUCCCUGUUUUCUAAUUUUGACUCUUUUUUGAUGGCAUUAAUCUAAAGUGGUGCCAUUUUACAACAAAGUAGAAAUGGAAGUCAUGGAAAGGUGAUAUUUCAACAAGGGAAAUAAGGGAACAGAAUUGCCUGUCUUAAGAACCUGCAUGAAAUGAGAUGCCAUCUCACCCCAGUUGAAAUGGCUUUUACUCAAAAGACAGGCAAUAAAAAAUGCUGGAACGAAUGUGAGGAAAAGAGAACCCCAGUACACUGUUGGUGGGAAUGUAAAUUAGUACAAUGACAUGGAGAAAAAGUUGGAGAUUCCCAAAAACUAAAAACAGAACAACCAUAUAAUUCAGCAACCCCACUUCUAGGCGUAUGACAAUAAGAAAGAAAGUAAGGAUAUUGAAGAGAUAUCUGCACUCCCAUGUUUAUUGCAGUGCUGUUCAUAAUAGCCAAGAUUUGGAGGCAACCUAAGCGUCCAUGAAUAGAAAAAUGGAUAAAGAAAAUGUGGUACAUAUACACAAUGGAGUACUAUUUACCCAUAAAAAUAUAAUGAGAGCUUGUCCUUUGCAACAACAGAGAUAGAACUGGAGGUCAUUAUGUUAAGUGAAAUAAGCCUGGCACAGAAAAAGAAACUGCAUAUUUGGAGACAUUUGUAUGGACAAAAAUUUAAAUCAAUUGAACUCAUGGCAACAAAGAGUAGAAGGAAGGUUACUAGAGACUGGGAAGGGUAGUGCAGGGUUGGGGAAGAGUUGGGAGGAUUAACUGGCACAAAAAUAUAGUUAGAUAGAAUGAAUAAGAUCUAGUAUUGGAUAGCACAAUAGGGUGGCUACAAUCAACAGUAAUUUAUUAUAUAUUUUUAAAUAAGUAAAAGAGUAUAAUUGGAAUGC
RNAcentral lists this long non-coding RNA (4047 nucleotides) under Callithrix jacchus (white-tufted-ear marmoset). Its description in RNAcentral is "lncRNA (ENSCJAG00000072378.1)". The record is from RNAcentral. Lineage: Eukaryota; Metazoa; Chordata; Mammalia; Primates; Cebidae.